ACGUCCUUUACGUUCCUGGCUCAGAUUGAAAACUGGCGGCAUGUUUUACACAUGCAAGUCGAGCGGCAGCGCGGGGGCAACCCUGGCGGCGAGCGGCGAACGGGUGAGUAAUACAUCGGAACGUGUCCUUUCGUGGGGGAUAACCAGUCGAAAGACUGGCUAAUACCGCAUCAGAUCUCACGAUGAAAGCGAGGGACCGCAAGGCCUCGCGCGAUUGGAGCGGCCGAUGUCGGAUUAGCUAGUUGGCGGGGUAAAAGCCCACCAAGGCGACGAUCCGUAGCUGGUUUGAGUGAACGACCAGCCACACUGGGACUGAGACACGGCCCAGACUCCUACGGGAGGCAGGCAGUGGGGAAUUUUGGACAAUGGGCGCAAGCCUGAUCCAGCCAUGCCGCGUGUGUGAAGAAGGCCUUCGGGUUGUAAAGCAAGUUCGGCCGGAACGUUAUCGCGCGGGUUAACAGUCCGCGUGGAUGACGGUACCGGAAGAUGAAGCACCCGCUAACUACGUGCCAGCAGCCGCGGUAAUACGUAGGGUGCGAGCGUUAAUAGGAAUUACUGGGCGUAAAGGGUGCGCAGGCGGCGUCGCAAGUCAGGCGUGAAAUCCCCGGGCUUAACCUGGGAACUGCACUUUGAAACUACGAUGCUGGAGUAUGGCAGAAGGAGUUGGAAUUCCACGUGUAGCGGUGAAAUGCGUAGAGAUGUGGAGGAACACCGAUGGCGAAGCCCACCCUCCUGGGCCAAUACUGACGCUCAUUAGCGAAAGCGUGGGGAGCAAAUAGGAUUAGAUACUCUGGUAGUCCACGCCCUAAACGAUGAUGACUAGUUGUUGGAGGAGUUAAAUCCUUUUGUAACGCAGCUAACGCGAGAAGUCAUCCGCCUGGGGAGUACGGUCGCAAGAUUAAAACUCAAAGGAUAUUGACGGGGGCCCGCACAAGCGGUGGAUGAUGUCAGUUUAAUUCGACGCAACGCGAAUUACCUUACCUACCCUUGUUAUGUACGGAACCUCAUAGAGAUGUGAGGGUGAUCGAAAGAGAGCCGUAACACAGGUGCUGCAUGGCUGUCGUCAGCUCGUGUCGUGAGAUGUUCGGUUAAGUCCCGUAACGAGCGCAACCCUUGCCAUUAGUUGCCACAUUCAGUUGGGCACUCUAAUGGGACUGCCGGUGACAAACCGGGGGAAGGUGUGGAUGACGUCAAGUCCUCAUGGCCCUUAUGGGUAGGGCUACACACGUCAUACAAUGGCGGAUACAGAGGGUUGCCAACCCGGAUAGAGCCGGAGCCAAUCCCAGAAAGUCCGUCUUAGUCCGGAUUGGAGUCUGCAACCCGACUCCAUGAAGUCGGAAUCGCUAGUAAUCGCAGAUCAGCAUGGAGCGGUGAAUACGUUACGGGCCUUGCAUAGUAACCAGUAGGGUAGGGCCAGUCAGU
RNAcentral lists this ribosomal RNA (1422 nucleotides) under uncultured bacterium. RNAcentral describes it as "partial 16S ribosomal RNA". It matches the Rfam family "Bacterial small subunit ribosomal RNA". The record is from RNAcentral.